Long non-coding RNA from Acanthopagrus latus (yellowfin seabream), 1505 nucleotides. RefSeq lists it as uncharacterized. Lineage: Eukaryota; Metazoa; Chordata; Actinopteri; Spariformes; Sparidae. The transcript is spliced from 2 exons. The record is from RefSeq and is a predicted model, not a curated record.
ACUGCGGAUUAACCUGUCAGAUUGUUAAGGAGGCGGAACUAGCGGAAAAACGAGGGGAAUGAGGAGAGAAAGCGGAGAGAAGCGGGGCAGAAGUCCGAGCAAACUUUCGAAUAACUUUAUGAAAAGUAUUGUUUACCGUUACCAAACAAGAAUUUAGGCAGUGUUGUGCUUAUUUUGUUAAAAGUGUAACCAAGUGGUGUUUACGAAUGAGGGCUCGUUACUGGGGCAAGCUGAAGAAGACACGACUGUUGCUAGCGGUUAGCCUAGCCGGCUGCUAACCAGGAGACGCUGGGAUAAUGGACGUUGGACAUUAUAAGGUGGGGCUGCAGGACGGAGGAGCAGGACCAAACAUCUGGACAGAACCAAACCUCAGGACGGGACGUCGCUAACUCUGGGGAAGAGGUUUUGGAGGAAAUUGCUGGAUGGCUUUUCCAUGGUCCCGGUGUGAGUAAUCCUGACCUGCGGUUUCAACCUGGAUGCGCGCCAUCACAGGGGAGUUUGCAGUGCUGAGGUUGUUCCACAGUUCAGGGCCAUGAUGGCAGAAAGCAGCUUCGUCAGACUUUUCAUGGAACACUUUUGGAACUUUAAAACAGAAGGUGGUGGAGGAUCUGAGGGCUCUAGACUGGACAUAAAGAGAGAGGCAACCACUGAUGUACGAAGGAGCUUAUGUUGGGAUUUGUAGAUGAUCAAGAGGAUCUAAAAGAAUUGAUUUUCAGUGUUCCCACAGGGUUUCAACUCAGUUCAUGUCAAAUUCUGUCACAGUGACACCUCAAUACAGUGAAUUAACACAUAAUUCCUGCACUCUCUUUUCCAGGGGUCAUGUGUAGGCCAUGUUUGUAUUGAGUGAAACAUGUCGUGAAUCUGUCUGUCCCUUCAUGAGCCUACUUUACCUUCAAUAAUGUUACAAGACUCAUAUUUUGUGAGAAAAUGUAGUGUGUUUCAGCCUAAAUAUGGAUCAAAUCUUCCAAUAAGCACUGGUGAAAAGGCCACUGUGGACUCCAGUCCCAGUUUACCUCCCCUCUCACCUCUCCGCUUCUGUUCUCGUGUCGCACACCUGAUUCACGCUCAUCCUGUUUUGGCACGUCUGCUUCUAAACUCUCCACCAAUCAGCGUUCAACAUUUCAUUAGCGCGUGGCGGUAGUAGCGCCAGCUGCCUGACGCUGACACAGAAAGCCCUGCAGGUGGCGCCACUGCCCCGUGGAAACGUCCAUCAGUCUCUGCAGGCAGUGACCGGGUGGAGGAACGUGUUGUCAGAGGCUGAACACCGUCCUACACCGCAGUCACCACAAUCACCAGAGGGACUACUGCGGCGUCCAGUCACACAUCAGUUUUUACAGAAUGAUGAUGUUUGAACAUUUUUAUGGAAGGAUUCGGACAGGAUGUGUGUGACGCCUGUGUGGGUUUCUUCUCCACCCUCAACCCUGCAGAGUGCGAAUAUUUCUACUGCAGGUUUUCACAUGUGAGAUUUGAUGAUGUGAAAAUAAAUAAAGCUUCUGUUGACUUUA